UAAAUAUGUAUGAAUAAUCAAAUGCUCCUUCAUGUGUAUAGUUUUUGAGGCUGGGGCUGAAUGUAUUUGUAUAAGAGCUUGCUAAGUGCUUUAUGUUCAUAAUAUGCGACUGAAAGCUGAUUGUUGGAGUAUUUGAAGAGUCAUUUUUUGGUAGCCUGCACAGAGAUGGAUGAGAAGUCAACACUCAUGGGCAACUGAAGAGGACCUGUAUUGCUGCAAGACACUGCCAGACCUUCAAAGAUUAAUUGAUAGUUCUCAUGAGGCAAACUUAACAAUGCAAUCUCCUUCAAACUGAGAUGUUCAAUGCUGUGAGAGAGAAAGCGGACUGAACAAAGAAUAAUAAUCGCCUCGAAAAAUAAAGCACACGUUUGGGAUAGGGAUGUCUCUCUUCGUUUCCCUAAUAUGGAGGAGCCGGUGUUGGACUGGGGUGGACAAGUUAAAAAUCACACAACACCAGAGAAGAAAACAUUCUUACCAGCAACGGAGGAAAUUGCAGGAUCCAAUGGAAUGGAUCUAGAUCGACUUUGUAAAGAAAAGCAGAUUCCAAUGACUAACAAUUUUUCCUGAAGAUCUUAUCUGGCUUCUUUAUCCACAAAUCAGCCCUGAAGAUCCUGGCAUUUUGUGUCGGGUCAAAUCUCUGAAACGACCGACAAGAAUUUAAUAAAAUGCCCUUUGAAUAUC
This is a non-coding RNA of Chiloscyllium plagiosum (whitespotted bambooshark), 681 nucleotides long. Lineage: Eukaryota; Metazoa; Chordata; Chondrichthyes; Orectolobiformes; Hemiscylliidae. The record is from RefSeq and is a predicted model, not a curated record.